GCCCGAGCUCUGCGCAAUUUGAGGUCGCUGAACCCCGCCAGGUCUGGAAAGAAGCAACGGUAGGCAAAACUUUGGAUGUGCGCAGCAAGCUUGGGCUUU
Molecule: signal recognition particle RNA, 99 nt
Filed under: Bacteroidota bacterium
Lineage: Bacteria; Pseudomonadati; Bacteroidota
Description: Bacteroidetes bacterium (activated sludge metagenome) signal recognition particle sRNA small type
Rfam family: Bacterial small signal recognition particle RNA
About the family: The signal recognition particle (SRP) is a universally conserved ribonucleoprotein involved in the co-translational targeting of proteins to membranes. Archaeal SRP consists of a 7S RNA and homologues of the eukaryotic SRP19 and SRP54 proteins.
Source: RNAcentral